AGCUGGGCGAUGCACUCGUUAAUCCGGUCACGUCUCUUUUUCUCGAUGAGCCGGUGCGGCAAUUUGUAGGUCUCCUGCAAGACGCACGGGGAGGCGGUGGGCGCUUGGGGAAGGAGAUGAGAAGCCUAUCCUCCCAGCCCCGCAGCAACAGUCCGGCAGAGGAGCAGAGUAGCAGAGUAGCACCCAGAACCAUCGUCUGCCCUUUCUUUUCCAAGUCACUCAGAAGAGGCACCGAGCCCACACCCUGCAUCCCCUCGCCAACCUCAAAGCGAGAAAACUUUUCUUGGAAACUCAGCGCGCGCGAGGGGCUGAGCGCAGGGUCCCUAGGGGUGCACUUGCUUACCUUGCUGUCCUCGCUCCGCUUUAUUCCCCGUCUUGACUUGUACACUUGGUACAUGUGGGCAGGGUACAUCCUGCAGGAAGAGAGACCAGGAAGGGUCGUGACUGCUUGCGCACGGCUGCAGGCGUUCUGCCGGGCAAGAACCUCCCGGUGCGCCCGGAGCUGCUCCAAGUUGAGAGUGGCGCAUAACAUGGGGCUGCAGUUGAGGCUUGAAGGGCCAAGGAGUGCCAACUUACCCUGGGUUGCAGAAAAGGAAGAAGAAUCAGCAGAGAGCAUUUGUGGCCAGCAAAGCUUAAAAUAUUUCCUAACCGAUCCUUUGCAAAAAAAGUUCACCCACUCCUGUAGUCAGCAGCUCCCCUACUGUGCGCAGUCAGUGUGCCAUCUCAGACUAGCAAAGGUGAGUAAAACCAUCCCUGCCCCUAAUCAAUUUACAAUCUGCAUCCUCAGGGCAAGAGCCUAGUAAGCAAAAGGCAAAAUAAGAUGGCGCCAGAUAAGGGCUUCAAAGGAAGAGAGACCAGGUUUGGUGGGGAAAUAGGGGGUGGCUUCUUAGCAGGUUUUCUUUAGAUGAACCUUGAAGAUAAAAAGAGAUUUUGAUGAAUAAGGGUGGGUGAGAUGCAGAGGGGGUCAGCGCUGUGUCCUGGAACCAGUGAGUGAUUCCAUUUCAGAAGCACCCGGGGAGGCUAAAGGGUAGAUUCUAAGGCCAGAAAGAGAGGAGAAGGUCGUAGGCUGGAGACCAUGAUGAGGAGUGUAUACAGAGGGAGAGAGGAGAGAUUCCUGCACUUAGAGGCCAAAAGGACAACAAUUUGCACUUUUACUUUGGUGUCGGAAAGAACCGUAGUCUCAUAUGGUUACACGGAAGUGUUUUAUGAUAAUCAGUGAAAAAUGAGGAAAAUAGUCUCUCUUAGGCUGAGCACCUAGGAAAUGAGUGGCUCUUGGCUGUAAGUCAAUGAACAGCAUUAAUAUAUGCAGUUACCAAGUCAUCAUUAACACAUAAAGCACUGCAGGGUUUCAAUCGAUUCAUCAGAAUUCUUGAAAGUCCUAUUUUAAGGCAGUUCAAACAGAGGCGAGGCAGCUGAACCUGGUGAGGCUGCCAGGAACAGCGAGUUCUGCCUCUGAAUUUGCUCCUGACUCAGUGCCUGACCUUGGGCAAGCACUCAACGUCUCACUAUCUCAGUUUCCUCAGCCAUAAAAUGGGGAUAACAGACCUUAGCCACCUCAUAGGAGUGUCAUAAAUGUCUGCAAAAACCUUUCAAGGUAAGUGCUCCUGGAAACGGACAAGGUGGGGAGGGUUCUUUUUCAAUCGUCUAGGCGGGAAAAUGAGGUUAUCAAAAUUAAAAUAGGAGACUACUUUGUGAAACAGAAAUGAUUGUGGAUAAAUGAUGCAAAGCCGACAGAUGAUUAAAGGUACCCAUAGUCUACCAGUUAAAAUCUCUGUCAGGAUUUUCUAAAUUAACGUCAGGACAUCUUCUUUGUUGUUGUUUAAGGAUGGAAGAGAAUAUUAAAAAUCAGACAGGACCACCUUAGGGUAUGUGGUCUCACAUAUCUGUUCUAUUUGCUUUUUCGAAGCUUAGAAUAUUCUGCUCAAUUCUCUGGGUAUUACUCAGUUAUAAAGGUGCAGAGGGAUGCAUCUCCUUCUGCACUUUCUUUACUCUGUAGAUUUUCCUAAUCUGUCCUAGAGAGGGACUGUGGCAGGGUCUGCAGACAGAAGGGCUGCCUUGUAGCCAGCCAUCUUUGUAUGACCUCUGCCAUUGGCCGUUGGUGGCCGAGAAAGACACUGAAGUCUCUCGAGAAAGCUGAAGACCCAACCCUGAGAUGUACCCACACUGCACCUGGAGCAGACAAUUGGGCUAGAAGACAAGUUCUGCUCUGCUCUGGAAAGUGUGAGUGGUAAAAUAUUUAUUAGGAUCCUGCUGAGAAGACUUGCCAUUUUAACCUUCUCUCUCUCUCUCUCUCUCUCUC
RNAcentral lists this long non-coding RNA (2299 nucleotides) under Homo sapiens (human). Its description in RNAcentral is "non-protein coding BHLHE40-AS1:10". The record is from RNAcentral. Lineage: Eukaryota; Metazoa; Chordata; Mammalia; Primates; Hominidae.